CCUACGGGGGGCAGCAGUGGGGAAUAUUGGACAAUGGGCGCAAGCCUGAUCCAGCCAUGCCGCGUGAGUGAUGAAGGCCCUAGGGUUGUAAAGCUCUUUUGUGCGGGAAGAUAAUGACGGUACCGCAAGAAUAAGCCCCGGCUAACUUCGUGCCAGCAGCCGCGGUAAUACGAAGGGGGCUAGCGUUGCUCGGAAUCACUGGGCGUAAAGGGUGCGUAGGCGGGUCUUUAAGUCAGGGGUGAAAUCCUGGAGCUCAACUCCAGAACUGCCUUUGAUACUGAGGAUCUUGAGUUCGGGAGAGGUGAGUGGAACUGCGAGUGUAGAGGUGAAAUUCGUAGAUAUUCGCAAGAACACCAGUGGCGAAGGCGGCUCACUGGCCCGAUACUGACGCUGAGGCACGAAAGCGUGGGGAGCAAACAGGAUUAGAUACCCCGGUAGUC
This 440-nucleotide ribosomal RNA is filed under the name uncultured bacterium. RNAcentral describes it as "bacterial SSU rRNA". It matches the Rfam family "Bacterial small subunit ribosomal RNA", at positions 338 to 795 of the family's 1533-position model. The record is from RNAcentral.